AACGCGAAGAACCUUACCUGGGCUUGACAUGUUCCCGACAGCCGUAGAGAUGCGGCCUCCCUUCGGGGCGGGUUCACAGGUGGUGCAUGGUCGUCGUCAGCUCGUGUCGUGAGAUGUUGGGUUAAGUCCCGCAACGAGCGCAACCCUCGCCCUGUGUUGCCAGCACGUCAUGGUGGGAACUCACGGGGGACCGCCGGGGUCAACUCGGAGGAAGGUGGGGAUGACGUCAGAUCAUCAUGCCCCUUACGUCCAGGGCUUCACGCAUGCUACAAUGGCCGGUACAACGGGAUGCGACACCGCGACGUGGAGCGGAUCCCUGAAAACCGGUCUCAGUUCGGAUUGGAGUCUGCAACCCGACUC
This 360-nucleotide ribosomal RNA is filed under the name bacterium enrichment culture DGGE gel band G5. RNAcentral describes it as "bacterial SSU rRNA". It matches the Rfam family "Bacterial small subunit ribosomal RNA", at positions 958 to 1318 of the family's 1533-position model. The record is from RNAcentral.